AGAGUUUGAUCAUGGCUCAGGAUGAACGCUAGCGGCAGGCCUAAUACAUGCAAGUCGAGGGGCAGCAGGGAUAGCAAUAUUCGCUGGCGACCGGCGCACGGGUGCGUAACGCGUAUGCAACUUACCUUCAACUGGAAGAUAGCCCCUCGAAAGAGGGAUUAAUACUCCAUAGUAUUACGAAACGGCAUCGUUUUGUAAUUAAAGCUCCGGCGGUUGAAGAUAGGCAUGCGUGACAUUAGCUAGUUGGUGAGGUAAUGGCUCACCAAGGCUACGAUGUCUAGGGGAUCUGAGAGGAUUAACCCCCACACUGGUACUGAGACACGGACCAGACUCCUACGGGAGGCAGCAGUAAGGAAUAUUGGUCAAUGGAGGCAACUCUGAACCAGCCAUGCCGCGUGAAGGAUGAAGGCGCUAUGCGUCGUAAACUUCUUUUAUAUGGGAAAAAACCUCUAAACGUGUUCGGAGCUGAUGGUACCAUAAGAAUAAGGAUCGGCUAACUCCGUGCCAGCAGCCGCGGUAAUACGGAGGAUCCAAGCGUUAUCCGGAUUCAUUGGGUUUAAAGGGUGCGUAGGCGGCUUGUUAAGUCAGCGGUGAAAUCUCAGGGCUUAACCCUGAAACUGCCAUUGAUACUGACGAGCUUGAGUACACUUGAAGUGGGCGGAAUGUGUCGUGUAGCGGUGAAAUGCUUAGAUAUGACACAGAACACCGAUUGCGAAGGCAGCUCACUAAAUUGUCACUGACGCUGAGGCACGAAAGCGUGGGGAUCAAACAGGAUUAGAUACCCUGGUAGUCCACGCUGUAAACGUUGAUAACUCGAUGUGUGCGGUAUACAGUACGCGUCUAAGCGAAAGCAUUAAGUUAUCCACCUGGGGAGUACGACCGCAAGGUUGAAACUCAAAGGAAUUGACGGGGGCCCGCACAAGCGGAGGAGCAUGUGGUUUAAUUCGAUGAUACGCGAGGAACCUUACCUGGGCUUGAAAGUUAGUGACCGUUCCUGAAAGGGAAUCUUCCGCAAGGACACGAAACUAGGUGCUGCAUGGCUGUCGUCAGCUCGUGCCGUGAGGUGUUGGGUUAAGUCCCGCAACGAGCGCAACCCCUAUCUUUAGUUGCCAUCAGGUUAUGCUGGGGACUCUAAAGAAACUGCCCGCGCAAGCGGUGAGGAAGGUGGGGAUGACGUCAAGUCAGCACGGCCCUUACGUCCAGGGCUACACACGUGCUACAAUGGUCACUACAGAGGGCUGCUACACCGCGAGGUGAUGCUAAUCUCCAAAGGUGAUCUCGGUUCGGAUUGGAGUCUGCAACUCGACUCCAUGAAGCUGGAUUUGCUAGUAAUCGGAUAUCAGCAAUGAUCCGGUGAAUACGUUCCCGGGCCUUGUACACACCGCCCGUCAAACAAUGGAAGCUGAGGGUACCUAAAGUCCAUCACCGCAAGGAGUGGCCUAGGGUAAAACUGGUAACUGGUGUUAAGUCGUAACAAGGUA
Molecule: ribosomal RNA, 1481 nt
Filed under: metagenome
Description: bacterial SSU rRNA
Rfam family: Bacterial small subunit ribosomal RNA
Source: RNAcentral